UCAUUUGUUUGCUUCGUUGGAGCAAUGGGAAGCUUUUGCUGUUUUAGGCUGGAAAUGUAAUAAUGCCUCGUGACAUGAGACCAUGGGCCAGUUUAAUCUGGUGAAUUUCUCCAUGUGGACCUGUAAAAUAGAAAUGGCAAUCCAUGGCAUGUGUGCUGAACAGCAGUGUGUUGAACAGCAUCCCUUCUCCACUCAAGUAAUUGAAGUGAACCCCUGAAGUGCUGGUGGUACUGCUGAAGAUUAACUUGCUUUUGAUUGGUCCUGGACUUCCUACAACCAAGCCCUGAGGAGAGGCAGUACUGAUCAGGAAGCGCCCUGUCAGCAGUGAACUGUCUCCCUCGAAGGAAUGCAGUUCCAGCUGACUUGGCCAGGGCUCCAGUUCAAAAAAAGGUCUCCAGCAGUAGGAAGGCACUUGGCAGUCACACACUCUCAGACUUUAUGCUCUGUCCUAUCUGCUGCCUCCAACCACCUACGGGCUUGUGAAGAAAGCAAGAGAUGUGGAGCCACCCACAAACGCCCCUUCCUGGGAGAAACUGGGCCUGCCGCUGCCUGCUCCCCUGCAUAUGGCUCUCUCUCUCUGGCUGUGUUUGAAAGAGGGGGGUGAAACAAGGUCUCUCAUUGGGCUGUGUGAGAACACACAUCCAUGAAAUGCAGCUGAUGGCACUGUAUUGUUCUGUGUCAAUAUGUAGAAAGUAAUCUACUGAACAGGUGGCAUCACUUCUGGUGACAUCAGGGGUGUGUGGCCUAAUAUGCAAAUGGGCUUUUUCUACAAAAAUAAAUAAUAAAAGGAAGUAAUGUGUA
This is a long non-coding RNA of Heteronotia binoei (common prickly gecko), 801 nucleotides long. RefSeq lists it as uncharacterized. The transcript has 4 exons. NCBI's taxonomy places the organism in Eukaryota, Metazoa, Chordata, Lepidosauria, Squamata, Gekkonidae. The record is from RefSeq and is a predicted model, not a curated record.